UUGACUAGAGCACCUGCCAUGCAUUAAUGUGGAUGGGAUCAUAGCCGGCCGGCGGUAGAAAACAGUGGCCAAAAGUAGUAGAUAGACCACAUGCAGUCAGCAGAACCCAUCAGAUCAGGGGGCCGUGUCAGAUAGUAGUGGGUGGCACGGUAAUCCGGGCAAAGAGAGUAUAACUUAGCAAGGAGGUCUACACAAACAGGUACGUUAACAUUCACAUCGAUAACAACAUACACACGACUAAGAAUUAUGAUCUCUCCCAAUACACUAAGCAUUUCAUCCUCCAUUGUUAACCUUGUGAACACGUAUACUGUCUCUCAAUCCUGAG
RNAcentral lists this long non-coding RNA (325 nucleotides) under Panax ginseng (ginseng). RNAcentral describes it as "long non-coding RNA (PGIN_LNC004572)". The record is from RNAcentral. Lineage: Eukaryota; Viridiplantae; Streptophyta; Magnoliopsida; Apiales; Araliaceae.